Molecule: ribosomal RNA, 377 nt
Filed under: Bacteroidales bacterium
Lineage: Bacteria; Pseudomonadati; Bacteroidota; Bacteroidia; Bacteroidales
Description: bacterial LSU rRNA
Rfam family: Bacterial large subunit ribosomal RNA
Source: RNAcentral
GGCUCGAUGUAUCCUGGGGCUGUAGAAGGUCCCAAGGGUUGGUCUGUUCGCCCAUUAAAACAUCACGUGAGCUGGGUUCAGAACGUCGUGAGACAGUUCGGUCCCUAUCUGUUGUGGGCGUAGGAAAUUUGAGAGGAGCUGUUUUUAGUACGAGAGGACCGAAACGGACAAACCUCUGGUGUAUCUGUUGUGGCGCCAGCUGCAUUGCAGAGUAGCUAUGUUUGGAAGAGAUAAGCGCUGAAAGCAUCUAAGCGCGAAGCUCGCCUCAAGAUGAGAUUUCCCUUAAGGGUCGUCAAAGACUAUGACGUUGAUAGGUUGCAGGUGUAAAGUCGGUAACGGCAAAGCCGAGCAAUACUAAUUACCCGUUUGUCUUUUCU